CAGCUAUUGUGAUGAACUACAGUAAUGCAGCAGGUUCCCAGGAAGAAGACCCAUAUAUACAGAAAAUCCAACACUCUCAGAAUGUCAGUCUUAUACUUUAAAAUCUGAUGCAUUUGUGAUAUCAUUUCUGGAUCCAUAAUCAUCCUUGUUAGAUUGAUUAACAAGUCCUUCAUAGAUAAGGUGGAAAGAUAUACUUCUACUAUGUCGUUCUAUUAAAGUGGAAUAGGAAAGAAUUUCUGAGCUACAAAAAUGCAACGCUUUCAGAACAAGCUUUUUUCACCCAAAUACAGACAGCCUUUGUUUAAAAACUGCCUUGUUCAACUCUUCA
Long non-coding RNA from Crotalus tigris (Tiger rattlesnake), 328 nucleotides. RefSeq lists it as uncharacterized. The record is from RefSeq and is a predicted model, not a curated record. Lineage: Eukaryota; Metazoa; Chordata; Lepidosauria; Squamata; Viperidae. The transcript is spliced from 3 exons.